This is a long non-coding RNA of Neofelis nebulosa (Clouded leopard), 893 nucleotides long. RefSeq lists it as uncharacterized. The transcript has 2 exons. The record is from RefSeq and is a predicted model, not a curated record. Lineage: Eukaryota; Metazoa; Chordata; Mammalia; Carnivora; Felidae.
AAGGUUUUCUUAAGGCCCACGCGGACACGUUCUUAAAGACAGAUCUGAGAUCCAGAUUCCGUUAAAAUAUACUGGGAAACUUCUAUUUGCCGAGUCCCUUCCUAGAGGCUUUCCCAUCCCUCCUGUCACAGAGACAUCACUGCCAUGAUCUCUCCCAAUCAGAUGGUUAUGUUGACAUGCCCUUCCCCUGUUGCGCACUGAGACAUAUCACCCAUCGGCUAUGGGUUGUCGCGCUCUCUCUACCUAUCUGAAAAAUCACAGAGGACUUUUGCUGCCCCAGACCUCAGCAGGGAAAGAUCAACCCCUUCCUACUGGACAGCCAUUUCAACCAGUGAAGCCACUUGAGUCGGGUGGAUCGUACUGAGAUUUCUCAGGGCCCGGUCUUUGGGAGUUGGAAGGCAACAGACACAAGUUCAAGAGUACAAUUUUAAUUUGAAGACAAAAAAAAAGCCCCCCGAAACAAGCAAACAAAAAAAAACCCACCUCUGCAUGCUGAGGCGUGCCGUGCAACUGUUUUCCCAAGAAACAUGUUUGGAGAGAGAGCCUGGGUUUUCUUCCAGACAGAGCUGAGUUCAAGUCUUCUGUGUCUCACACGCUAGAAGGUUGACCUCACAGUAUGUAACCUCCGAGCUGCAGCGUACUCGCCUGGUUAGAUUGCUGCCCCUUUGGGAGUCACGAGUUACAGCUUGACACGGUGCACAGAACAGCCUUCCCGGUGCUUGCAAUACGUGUCUGCUCCAGGAACAUUGCCACCUUCCCUGUUACCUUUAUAAAAACCAUUAUAAUUAGAAAAGAAAUACAGGAGAGAAAAACAAUCUGUAUACCUGACAUCACCACUAUAGCUAUAACCGUGACUGUAUAUUUAUAAUAAACAUAUAUGUUUAUCUCCCAUG